CACAAACUUUGUGUUAGGCUAAUAGUUUUCAUUUCCCGUCUCAUGGAAAACCCUUUUCGCUCCGCUUAUCCCUAUCUCCCUCUAGGGGUAUUUUAGUGAUAGGUUCUAUAGGAAUCGGACGAUCCUAUUUGGUCAAAUACCUAGCGACAAACUCCUAUGUUCCUUUCAUUACAGUAUUUCUGAACAAGUUCCUGGGGAACAAAGGUAACAAAGGUUUUUUUAUUGAUGAUAGUGACGAUAUUGAUGAUAGUGACGAUAUUGAUGCUAGUGACGAUAUUGAUGAUAGUGACGCUAUUGAUGAUAGUGACGAUAUCGAUUGUGACCUUGAUACGGAGCUGGGGUUUCUAGAUAUCGAUAUUAUGGAUAUGAUGUCGGAAAUAGACCGAUUUUAUAUCACCCUUCAAUUCGAACUAGCAAAAGCAAUGUCUCCUUGCAUAAUAUGGAUUCCAAACAUUCAUGAUCUGGAUAUGAAUGAGGCGAAUGACUUAUCUCUCCA
Molecule: long non-coding RNA, 496 nt
Filed under: Durio zibethinus
Lineage: Eukaryota; Viridiplantae; Streptophyta; Magnoliopsida; Malvales; Malvaceae
Description: long non-coding RNA (DZIB_LNC000575)
Source: RNAcentral